CAGCCGCCGCGGUAAUACAGAGGGUGCGAGCGUUAAUCGGAUUUACUGGGCGUAAAGCGUGCGUAGGCGGCUUUUUAAGUCGGAUGUGAAAUCCCUGAGCUUAACUUAGGAAUUGCAUUCGAUACUGGGAAGCUUGAGUAUGGGAGAGGAUGGUAGAAUUCCAGGUGUAGCGGUGAAAUGCGUAGAGAUCUGGAGGAAUACCGAUGGCGAAGGCAGCCAUCUGGCCUAACACUGACGCUGAGGUACGAAAGCAUGGGGAGCAAACAGGAUUAGAGACCCCCGUAGUCCCUGUCUCUUAUAC
Molecule: ribosomal RNA, 301 nt
Filed under: uncultured bacterium
Lineage: Bacteria
Description: partial 16S ribosomal RNA
Rfam family: Bacterial small subunit ribosomal RNA
Source: RNAcentral